CCCUUAAAUGUUCUGGGCCGCACGCGCGCUACACUGACGAUGGCAACGAGUUUUUCCUUCGCCGAAAGGUGUGGGUAAUCUUUUGAAACAUUGUCGUGCUGGGGAUAGAUCAUUGCAAUUUUUGAUCUUGAACGAGGAAUUCCUAGUAAGCGCGAGUCAUCAGCUCGCGUUGAUUACGUCCCUGCCCUUUGUACACACCGCCCGUCGCUACUACCGAUUGAAUGGUUUAGUGAGGACUCCUGAUUGGCGCCGCCGCCCCGGCAACGGAGCAGCGGACUGCCGAAAAGUUGUUCAAACUUGAUCAUUUAGAGGAAGUAAAAGUCGUAACA
RNAcentral lists this ribosomal RNA (329 nucleotides) under uncultured eukaryote. RNAcentral's name for it is "partial 18S ribosomal RNA". It matches the Rfam family "Eukaryotic small subunit ribosomal RNA", at positions 1470 to 1796 of the family's 1831-position model. The record is from RNAcentral.